RNAcentral lists this ribosomal RNA (465 nucleotides) under uncultured bacterium. Its description in RNAcentral is "partial 16S ribosomal RNA". It matches the Rfam family "Bacterial small subunit ribosomal RNA", at positions 28 to 507 of the family's 1533-position model. The record is from RNAcentral.
GACGAACGCUGGCGGCGUGCUUAACACAUGCAAGUCGAACGGAAAGGCCCCUUUCUUGGUACUCGAAUGUCGAACGCGUGCGUAACACGUGAGUAACCUUCCCUUGACUUCGGGAUAACUUCAGGAAACUGGAGCUAAUACCGAAUAGGAAUCAUUUCUGCAUGGGGGUGGUUGGAUAGCUUCGGGGGUUUUGGAUGGACUGGCUGCGUAUCAGCUUGUUGGUGUGGUAGUGGCUUACCAAGGCGUUGUCGGGUAGCCGGACUGAGAGGGCGACCGGCCACCUUGGCACUGAGGGACGGCCGAGACUCCUACGGGAGGCAGAAGGGGGGAAGAUUGACCGAUGGGCGGAGGGCGGAUGAAGAAGCGCCGCGUGCGGGAUGACGGCCUUAGGGUUGUAGAACGAUUUCAGAAGGGGCGAAGCUUGUGGUGACGGUACCUGCAGAGGAAGCACCGGCUAACUACGUG